UACGUAGGGUGCGAGCGUUAAUCGGAAUUACUGGGCGUAAAGCGUGCGCAGGCGGUGAGCUGUGUCCGAUGUGAAAGCCCCGGGCUUAACCUGGGAAUGGCAUUGGAAACUGGCUUGCUGGAGUGCGGCAGAGGGGGGUGGAAUUCCGCGUGUAGCAGUGAAAUGCGUAGAGAUGCGGAGGAACACCGAUGGCGAAGGCAGCCCCCUGGGUCGACACUGACGCUCAGGCACGAAAGCGUGGGGAGCAAACAGG
Molecule: ribosomal RNA, 253 nt
Filed under: uncultured bacterium
Lineage: Bacteria
Description: partial 16S ribosomal RNA
Rfam family: Bacterial small subunit ribosomal RNA
Source: RNAcentral